GACGAACGCUGGCGGCGUGCUUAACACAUGCAAGUCGAACGGAAAGGCCCUGCUUUUGUGGGGUGCUCGAGUGGCGAACGGGUGAGUAACACGUGAGUAACCUGCCCUUGCCUUUGGGAUAACUUCAGGAAACUGGGGUUAAUACCGGAUAGGAGCUCCUGCUGCAUGGUGGGGGUUGGAAAGUUUCGGCGGUUGGGGAUGGACUCGCGGCUUAUCAGCUUGUUGGUGGGGUAGUGGCUUACCAAGGCUUUGACGGGUAGCCGGCCUGGGCGGGUGACCGGCCACAUUGGGACUGAGAUACGGCCCAGACUCCUACGGGAGGCAGCAGUGGGGAAUAUUGCACAAUGGGCGGAAGCCUGAUGCAGCAACGCCGCGUGCGGGAUGACGGCCUUCGGGUUGUAAACCGCUUUCGCCUGUGACGAAGCGUGAGUGACGGUAAUGGGUAAAGAAGCACCGGCUAACUACGUG
This 468-nucleotide ribosomal RNA is filed under the name uncultured bacterium. Its description in RNAcentral is "partial 16S ribosomal RNA". It matches the Rfam family "Bacterial small subunit ribosomal RNA", at positions 28 to 507 of the family's 1533-position model. The record is from RNAcentral.